AUGCAAGAAUUGGGAGAUGUGUACUGCUCGGUUGAGAAGUGGUGUGAAUUGGUGGAAAAAUUCACACCCAGACAGCGCAUGAUGCUACGUGGCACAAGUUUGGACUACGGCAUCAGUGUGCUUAAUGAAGAUGUUUACGACAUAUUCGGGCUACGUAACGAGGGUGAUGAUUCAUAUGAUGAUGAUUUUGUGAGAAGGGCCGUAUUGGUUCUUAUGGGUACAGUCUUAGCACCACAAUCCACCAAGUGUGUUCCUUAUCGUUAUUACAAAAUGGUGGAGGACGUGAACGCUAUCAAGUCAUACAAUUGGAACGAUUUUACGUUGAGGGUGUGCAUGGAUGCUAUUAAAAAAUCGGUCGAAGAUCUUGAAAAAUUCAAGUGGCCUAUCGGGAACUUGUCUCUUUUUUAG
RNAcentral lists this ribosomal RNA (408 nucleotides) under Triticum aestivum (bread wheat). RNAcentral's name for it is "partial small subunit ribosomal RNA". Lineage: Eukaryota; Viridiplantae; Streptophyta; Magnoliopsida; Poales; Poaceae. The record is from RNAcentral.